Molecule: ribosomal RNA, 307 nt
Filed under: uncultured archaeon
Lineage: Archaea
Description: bacterial SSU rRNA
Rfam family: Archaeal small subunit ribosomal RNA
Source: RNAcentral
CGGCUUCACAGGUCUCUUGUUAAAUCCAACGGCCCAACCGUUGGACUGCAGUAGAUACCAUGGAGCUAGGGGGCGGGAGAGGCGGACGGUACUCCAUGGGUAGGGGUAAAUCCUUUGAUCCAUGGAAGACCACCAGUGGCGAAGGCGGUCCGCUAGAACGCGCCCGACGGUGAGGGAUGAAAGCUGGGGGAGCGAACCGGAUUAGAUACCCGGGUAGUCCCAGCUGUAAACGAUGCAGGCUAGGUGAUAGGAAGCUAUUACGCCUCCCUAGUGCCGCAGGGAAGCCGAUAAGCCUGCCGCCUGGGGA